CACGUGCAAGUCACGCGGACACGUCAAACAGUGAUGCCACGCAAUGGACGUCGACCAGCGCACGGGGGAGGAAUAACGUAUCCAACCUACCCAUUACUGUGUGAUAUCACGCCGAAAGGCAGACUAAAAUCGCAUAGUUUUAGAUGUCUGCAUCAGAUGUGAGGUAGAAGAUGUAUCGGUAAUGGAGGGAGGGUGCGUGCGGUCAAUCAGUUGGCGGGGGGGACGGAUGGCCCAAGGCAACGAUCAGUAGGGGUUCUGAGAGGAAGGUCCCCCACCACAGAAGGAAGGAGAUGUGCACCAGACUCCGGGAGGCGGCAGUGAGGGGGAAUGGUCCACAGGGGGGGACAGCAAGCAGCCAAGAAGCCGCCAGGAGGACGGCCGCCUGGGGGUUGAAAACCUUUUUUAUGCGGAGACAAUCAACCACGUAGGGUUGUGGUCAGGGUACAUGGGAAAGAAGCCCGGGUAAAUUACUUCCCGCCGCCCCCGUUAUACGGAAGGUCCGGGCGUUGUCCGGAAUUAUUGGGUUUAAAGGGAGCGUAGGCCGGAGGUUAAGUGUGUUGUGAAAAUCCUCCGCUCAACGUGGGGCGUGCGGUGCAUACGGGUUUCCUUGAGUGCGCUAGGGGAGGGCGGAAUUCGUGGUGUAGCGGUGGAAUGCUCAGAUAUCAGGAAGAACACCGAUGGCGAAGGCGGGUGUCGGGACCGCAACUGACGCUGAGGAUCGAAAGCGUGGGGAUCGAACAGG
This 742-nucleotide ribosomal RNA is filed under the name uncultured Lactobacillus sp. Its description in RNAcentral is "bacterial SSU rRNA". It matches the Rfam family "Bacterial small subunit ribosomal RNA", at positions 52 to 776 of the family's 1533-position model. Lineage: Bacteria; Bacillati; Bacillota; Bacilli; Lactobacillales; Lactobacillaceae. The record is from RNAcentral.